AGGGCGCAGGGCGGAUGCCUUGGCUCACGGAGGCGAUGAAGGACGUGAUAAGCUGCGAUAAGCUUCGGGUAGGUGCAAAUGACCAUUGAUCCGGAGAUUUCCGAAUGGGACAACCCGGCAGUCUGAAGGACUGUCAUCCUGGCAUCAGUCAGGAGGCGAACCGAGGGAACUGAAACAUCUUAGUACCUCGAGGAGAAGAAAAUAAAAUAAUGAUUCCCCCAGUAGUGGCGAGCGACCGGGGAAGAGCCCAAACCGCCGUUGUGGCAACGCAAGGGCGGUGUUGUAGGACCACGUCAUUGUACUAUGAAGGUGAACGGAACGUUCUGGAAAGAACGGCCAGAGAGGGUGAAAGCCCCGUAUGUGAAACCUGAAGAGGCAUAGUGGUAUCCUGAGUAACGCGGAACACGAGGAAUUCUGCGCGAAUCCGCCGGGACCAUCCGGCAAGGCUAAAUACUCCCGUGAGACCGAUAGUGAACCAGUACCGUGAGGGAAAGGUGAAAAGCACUUCCAUUAGAAGGGUGAAAUAGAUCCUGAAACCCUGCGCCUACAAGCGGUCGGAGCACCUUAUGGUGUGACGGCGUGCCUUUUGCAUAAUGAACCUACGAGUUGCCGUCACCGGCAAGGUUAAGGAUGAGAACAUCCCGAGCCGCAGUGAAAGCGAGCCUGAAGAGGGCGCCAAGUCGGUGGAGGCAGACGCGAAACCAAGUGAUCUACACUUGGCCAGGAUGAAGUUCCGGUAACACGGAAUGGAGGUCCGCACCAAUAAGCGUUGAAAAGCUUCUGGAUGAGCCGAGUGUAGGAGUGAAAGGCCAAUCAAACUUGGAGAUAGCUCGUACUCCCCGAAAUGCAUUUAGGUGCAGCGUAGUACGAUCACGCAGAGAGGUAGAGCGACCGAUAGGAUGAGAGGGCUUCACCGCCUAUCAAGUCCUGACGAACUCCGAAUGCUCUGCGUCCGCAGUACUGCAGUAAGGGCAUGGGUGCUAAGGUCCGUGCCCGAGAGGAGAAGAAUCCUGACCGCCGUCUAAGGCCCCGGAAUUCUGCCUGAGUUAGUCUAACGAAGUAUGGUCCCUGUGACAGCUAGGAUGUUGGCUUGGAAGCAGCCAUUCAUUCAAAGAGUGCGUAACAGCUCACUAGUCGAGGGUCCGUGCGUGGAUAAUAAUCGGGUAUAAGGCAGAUGCCGAAGGCGCGGGAUAGUAUAUUGAUUUAUAGUAUCGGUAGGGGAGCAUUCCAUGCAGCGUCGAAUCAGCGGGACGACCCGCUGUGGAGCGCAUGGAAAAGCAAAUGUAGGUAUAAGUAACGAUAAGGGGGGUGAGAUUCCCCCCCGCCGCAAGACCAAGGUUUCCCGGGCAACGUCAGUCGUCCCGGGGUCAGUCGGGUCCUAAGUCUAAGCCGAACGGCGAGGGCGAUGGCAGACACGGUUAAUAUUCCGUGACUGCCGUAUGGAGUGACGCGGGGACGGAGCAGUGGAACCGCCGCGUGCUGACGGAAUAGCACGUUGAAGGGUGUAGGAGUCGACCAUGCGAGGCAAAUCCCGCAUGUGAUCCGAACCUGACAGUACGGUCCUCCCUUCGGGGAGAACCGAUAGCGCGGGUAAUCAGACUCCCGAGAAAAUCCGCUAAACAUAAUCCAUACGGCACCCGUACCGUAAACGGACACACGUAGUCGGGUAGAACAUACUAAGGCGUUGAGAGAUUCAUGGUUAAGGAACUAGGCAAACUGACCCCGUAACUUCGGGAUAAGGGGUCCUCGUGACGAGCGAGGCGCAGAGAAUAGGUCCAGGCAACUGUUUAACAAAAACACAGGGCUGUGCGAACUCGAAAGAUGAAGUAUACAGCCUGACACCUGCCCGGUGCUGGAAGGUUAAGAGGAGAUGUCAUCGCAAGAGAAGCAUUGAAUUGAAGCCCCAGUAAACGGCGGCCGUAACUAUAACGGUCCUAAGGUAGCGAAAUUCCUUGUCGGGUAAGUUCCGACCUGCACGAAUGGUGUAACGAUCUGGACACUGUCUCAACCGUGAGCUCGGUGAAAUUGUAGUAUCGGUGAAGAUGCCGAUUACCCGCGAUGGGACGAAAAGACCCCGUGAACCUUUACUACAGCUUAGCAUUGACCUUGGUCAUCCGAUGUGUAGGAUAGGCCGGAGGCUAUGAGACGGGCGCGCCAGCGUUCGUGGAGCCAUCCUUGAAAUACGGCCCUUUGGCUGUCUGAGGUCUAACGCGCCAACGCGCGGACAUUGUUUGGUGGGUAGUUUGACUGGGGUGGUCGCCUCCAAAAGCGUAACG
This 2276-nucleotide ribosomal RNA is filed under the name metagenome. Its description in RNAcentral is "bacterial LSU rRNA". It matches the Rfam family "Bacterial large subunit ribosomal RNA", at positions 14 to 2302 of the family's 2925-position model. The record is from RNAcentral.